CCUACGGGAGGCAGCAGUAGGGAAUAUUGCUCAAUGGGGGCAACCCUGACGCAGCAACGCCGCGUGGAGGAUGAAGGUUUUCGGAUUGUAAACUCCUUUUGUCAGAGACGAUAAUGACGGUGUUUAACGAAUAAGAACCGGCUAACUCCGUGCCAGCAGCCGCGGUAAUACGGAGGGUGCAAGCGUUACUCGGAAUCACUGGGCGUAAAGAGCGCGUAGGCGGGAUAGCAAGUCAGAUGUGAAAUCCUAGGGCUUAACCAGUGGACUGCAUUUGAAACUGCUGUUCUAGAGUAUGGGAGAGGUAGGUGGAAUUCUUGGUGUAGCGGUAAAAUGCGUAGAGAUCAAGAGGAAUACUCAUGGCGAAGGCGGUCUGCUAGAACAUAACUGACGCUGAUGCGCGAAAGCGUGGGGAGCAAACAGGAUUAGAUACCCGGGUAGUC
Molecule: ribosomal RNA, 440 nt
Filed under: uncultured bacterium
Lineage: Bacteria
Description: partial 16S ribosomal RNA
Rfam family: Bacterial small subunit ribosomal RNA
Source: RNAcentral